GACGUAGGGUGCGAGCGUUGUCCGGAUUUAUUGGGCGUAAAGAGCUCGUAGGCGGUCUGUCGCGUCGAUCGUGAAAACCUGGGGCUUAACCCUGAGCUUGCGGUCGAUACGGGCAUGACUGGAGUUCGGCAGGGGAGACUGGAAUUCCUGGUGUAGCGGUGAAAUGCGCAGAUAUCAGGAGGAACACCGGUGGCGAAGGCGGGUCUCUGGGCCGAUACUGACGCUGAGGAGCGAAAGCGUGGGGAGCGAACAGG
This 254-nucleotide ribosomal RNA is filed under the name uncultured bacterium. RNAcentral describes it as "partial 16S ribosomal RNA". It matches the Rfam family "Bacterial small subunit ribosomal RNA", at positions 524 to 776 of the family's 1533-position model. The record is from RNAcentral.